Molecule: ribosomal RNA, 255 nt
Filed under: uncultured bacterium
Lineage: Bacteria
Description: partial 16S ribosomal RNA
Rfam family: Bacterial small subunit ribosomal RNA
Source: RNAcentral
CGGGAUUAUUAUCUUCGGAUGAUAUGAGAGUGGCGAACGGGUGAGUAACACGUAAGAAUCUACCUUUAGGACGGGGAUAACUUCUGGAAACGGAUGCUAAUACCCGAUAUGCUGUGGAGUGAAAGGAAUUUCGCCUAAAGAUGAUCUUGCGUCUGAUUAGCUAGAUAGUGUGGUAAUGGCGCACUAUGGGCGACGAUCAGUAGCUGGUCUGAGAGGAUAGACAGCCACAUUGGGACUGAGACACGGUCCAAACUC